RNAcentral lists this unclassified non-coding RNA (356 nucleotides) under soil metagenome. RNAcentral describes it as "partial contains 5.8S ribosomal RNA, internal transcribed spacer 2, and large subunit ribosomal RNA". The stretch from base 1 to 120 matches the Rfam family "5.8S ribosomal RNA", at positions 35 to 154 of the family's 154-position model. The record is from RNAcentral.
GAUGAAGAACGCAGCGAAAUGCGAUAAGUAAUGUGAAUUGCAGAAUUCAGUGAAUCAUCGAAUCUUUGAACGCACAUUGCGCCCGUCAGUAUUCUGGCGGGCAUGCCUGUUCGAGCGUCAUUACGCCCCUCAAGUCCCCUGUGGACUUGGUGUUGGGGAUCGGCGAGGCUGGUUUUCCAGCACAGCCGUCCCUUAAAUUAAUUGGCGGUCUCGCCGUGGCCCUCCUCUGCGCAGUAGUAAAACACUCGCAACAGGAGCCCGGCGCGGUCCACUGCCGUAAAACCCCCCAACUUUUUAUAGUUGACCUCGAAUCAGGUAGGACUACCCGCUGAACUUAAGCAUAUCAAUAGCGAGGA